Molecule: ribosomal RNA, 535 nt
Filed under: Halomonas sp.
Lineage: Bacteria; Pseudomonadati; Pseudomonadota; Gammaproteobacteria; Oceanospirillales; Halomonadaceae
Description: bacterial SSU rRNA
Rfam family: Bacterial small subunit ribosomal RNA
Source: RNAcentral
GAACCUGAUCAGCCAUGCCGCGUGUGUGAAGAAGGCCCUCGGGUUGUAAAGCACUUUCAGCGAGGAAGAACGCCUAGCGGUUAAUACCCGCUAGGAAAGACAUCACUCGCAGAAGAAGCACCGGCUAACUCCGUGCCAGCAGCCGCGGUAAUACGGAGGGUGCAAGCGUUAAUCGGAAUUACUGGGCGUAAAGCGCGCGUAGGUGGCUUGAUAAGCCGGUUGUGAAAGCCCCGGGCUCAACCUGGGAACGGCAUCCGGAACUGUCAAGCUAGAGUGCAGGAGAGGAAGGUAGAAUUCCCGGUGUAGCGGUGAAAUGCGUAGAGAUCGGGAGGAAUACCAGUGGCGAAGGCGGCCUUCUGGACUGACACUGACACUGAGGUGCGAAAGCGUGGGUAGCAAACAGGAUUAGAUACCCUGGUAGUCCACGCCGUAAACGAUGUCGACCAGCCGUUGGGUGCCUAGCGCACUUUGUGGCGAAGUUAACGCGAUAAGUCGACCGCCUGGGGAGUACGGCCGCAAGGUUAAAACUCAAAUG